CCCUUAGAUGUUCUGGGCUGCACGCGCGCUACACUGAUGCGAUCAACAAGUUUUUCCUAUGUCGAUAGACACGGGUAAUCUUUUGAACUCGCAUCGUGAUGGGGAUAGAUUAUUGUAAUUAUUAAUCUUCAACGAGGAAUUCCUAGUAGGUGCAAAUCAUCAGUUUGCAUCGAUUACGUCCCUGCCCUUUGUACACACCGCCCGUCGCUGCUACCGAUUGGUUGAUCUGGUGAAUUAUUCGGACUGCCGGCUGAAGGGGUUUCCUCAUCUGCCAGCGGAAAGUCUUGUUAACCCUAUCAACGAGAGGAAGCAGAAGUCGUAACA
Molecule: ribosomal RNA, 324 nt
Filed under: uncultured eukaryote
Lineage: Eukaryota
Description: partial 18S ribosomal RNA
Rfam family: Eukaryotic small subunit ribosomal RNA
Source: RNAcentral